RNAcentral lists this ribosomal RNA (253 nucleotides) under uncultured bacterium. RNAcentral describes it as "partial 16S ribosomal RNA". It matches the Rfam family "Bacterial small subunit ribosomal RNA", at positions 524 to 776 of the family's 1533-position model. The record is from RNAcentral.
GACGAGGGAUCCUAGCGUUGUUCGGAAUCAUUGGGCGUAAAGCGGGUGCAGGUGGCUAUGUAAGUCAGGUGUGAAAGCCUGGGGCUCAACCCCAGAAGUGCAUCUGAUACUGCGUAGCUUGAGUGCUAGAGAGGAUAGUAGAAUUCUUGGUGUAGUGGUGAAAUACGUAGAUAUCAAGAGGAAUACCGGUGGCGAAGGCGGCUAUCUGGCUAGACACUGACACUCAGACCCGAAAGUGCGGGGAUCAAACAGG